This 29-nucleotide non-coding RNA is filed under the name Homo sapiens (human). Lineage: Eukaryota; Metazoa; Chordata; Mammalia; Primates; Hominidae. The record is from RNAcentral.
UACAGAGGUACGUGGUCCACGGCUCUUAA